GUCGCACGAGAAAGGGCUUCGGCCCCGGUACAGUGGCGCACGGGUGAGUAACACGUGGGUAAUGUUUCCUCGGGCGGGGGAUAACCUUCCGAAAGGAGGGCUAAUACCGCAUAAGACCACGGCUUCGAAAGGAGCUGAGGUCAAAGCAGGCCUCUUCAUGAAAGCUUGCACCUGAGGAUCAGCCCGCGGCCCAUCAGCUUGUUGGCAGGGUAACGGCCUACCAAGGCUAAGACGGGUAGCUGGUCUGAGAGGAUGAUCAGCCACACUGGAACUGAGACACGGUCCAGACUCCUACGGGAGGCAGCAGUGGGGAAUCUUGCGCAAUGGACGAAAGUCUGACGCAGCGACGCCGCGUGGGUGAUGAAGGCCUUCGGGUUGUAAAGCCCUGUGGGGAGAGACGAAUAAGUCGGCGCUAAUAUCGCCGGCGAUGACGGUAUCUCCUUAGCAAGCACCGGCUAACUCUGUGCCAGCAGCCGCGGUAAGACAGAGGGUGCAAACGUUGUUCGGAAUUACUGGGCGUAAAGCGUGUGUAGGCGGCUACGCAAGUCGGAUGUGAAAGCCCCGGGCUCAACCCGGGAAGUGCACCCGAAACUGCGUGGCUCGAGUACCGGAGAGGUUGGUGGAAUUCUCGGUGUAGAGGUGAAAUUCGUAGAUAUCGAGAGGAACACCGGUGGCGAAGGCGGCCAACUGGACGAGUACUGACGCUGAGACACGA
Molecule: ribosomal RNA, 715 nt
Filed under: uncultured delta proteobacterium
Lineage: Bacteria; Deltaproteobacteria
Description: bacterial SSU rRNA
Rfam family: Bacterial small subunit ribosomal RNA
Source: RNAcentral